UACAGAGGUCCCGAGCGUUGUUCGGAUUCAUUGGGCGUAAAGAGCGUGUAGGCGGCCUGAAAGGUCAGCUGUGAAAACUCGGGGCUCAACCCCGAGACGUCGGUUGAAACCAUCUGGCUAGAGUCCGGAAGAGGAGUGUGGAAUUCCCGGUGUAGCGGUGAAAUGCGCAGAUAUCGGGAAGAACACCCGUGGCGAAGGCGGCACUCUGGGACGGUACUGACGCUGAGACGCGAAAGCGUGGGGAGCGAACAGG
Molecule: ribosomal RNA, 253 nt
Filed under: uncultured bacterium
Lineage: Bacteria
Description: partial 16S ribosomal RNA
Rfam family: Bacterial small subunit ribosomal RNA
Source: RNAcentral